This 461-nucleotide ribosomal RNA is filed under the name Streptococcus mitis. RNAcentral's name for it is "bacterial SSU rRNA". It matches the Rfam family "Bacterial small subunit ribosomal RNA", at positions 28 to 473 of the family's 1533-position model. Lineage: Bacteria; Bacillati; Bacillota; Bacilli; Lactobacillales; Streptococcaceae. The record is from RNAcentral.
GACGAACGCUGGCGGCGUGCCUAAUACAUGCAAGUAGAACGCUGAAGGAGGAGCUUGCUUCUCCGGAUGAGUUGCGAACGGGUGAGUAACGCGUAGGUAACCUGCCUGGUAGCGGGGGAUAACUAUUGGAAACGAUAGCUAAUACCGCAUAAGAGUAGAUGUUGCAUGACAUUUGCUUAAAAGGUGCAAUUGCAUCACUACCAGAUGGACCUGCGUUGUAUUAGCUAGUUGGUGGGGUAACGGCUCACCAAGGCGACGAUACAUAGCCGACCUGAGAGGGUGAUCGGCCACACUGGGACUGAGACACGGCCCAGACUCCUACGGGAGGCAGCAGUAGGGAAUCUUCGGCAAUGGACGGAAGUCUGACCGAGCAACGCCGCGUGAGUGAAGAAGGUUUUCGGAUCGUAAAGCUCUGUUGUAAGAGAAGAACGAGUGUGAGAGUGGAAAGUUCACACUGUGAC